UCGGGAAUUUUGGGCAAUGGGCGAAAGCCUGACCCAGCAACGCCGCGUGAGGGAUGAAGGCCCUCGGGUCGUAAACCUCUGUCGGGAGGGAAGAACGAUCGCAAGGUGAAUAAUCUUGGGGUCUGACGGUACCUCCAAAGGAAGCGCCGGCUAACUCCGUGCCAGCAGCCGCGGUAAUACGGAGGGCGCAAGCGUUGUUCGGAAUCAUUGGGCGUAAAGCGCGUGUAGGCGGCUUGGCAAGUCGGGUGUGAAAUCCCGGGGCUCAACCCCGGAACUGCAUUCGAUACUGCCUCGCUAGAGUCCCGGAGAGGAGGGCGGAAUUCCCGGUGUAGAGGUGAAAUUCGUAGAUAUCGGGAGGAACACCAGUGGCGAAGGCGGCCCUCUGGACGGUGACUGACGCUGAGAUGCGAAAGCGUGGGGAGCAAAACAGGAUUAGAUACCCUGGUAGUCCUGGCCGUAAAACGAUGUGCACUUGGUGUGAGCCGGUUUUCGGUUCGUGCCGCAGUUAACGCAGUAAGUG
Molecule: ribosomal RNA, 520 nt
Filed under: uncultured Pseudomonadota bacterium
Lineage: Bacteria; Pseudomonadati; Pseudomonadota
Description: bacterial SSU rRNA
Rfam family: Bacterial small subunit ribosomal RNA
Source: RNAcentral